Molecule: transfer RNA, 72 nt
Filed under: Sphaerodactylus townsendi
Lineage: Eukaryota; Metazoa; Chordata; Lepidosauria; Squamata; Sphaerodactylidae
Description: tRNA-Ala
Source: RNAcentral
GGGGCUGGAGCUCAGUGGUCGAGCAUCUACUUGGCACACGGAACGUCCCAGGUUCGAUCUCCGGCAUCUCCA